This 395-nucleotide ribosomal RNA is filed under the name uncultured bacterium. RNAcentral describes it as "bacterial SSU rRNA". It matches the Rfam family "Bacterial small subunit ribosomal RNA", at positions 505 to 898 of the family's 1533-position model. The record is from RNAcentral.
GUGUCAGCAGCCGCGGUAAGACGAACCGUCCGAACGUUAUUCGGUAUCACUGGGCUUAAAGAGUUCGUAGGCGGCCAAGCAGGUCAGGUGUGAAAUCCCACAGCUCAACUGUGGAACUGCGCUUGAAACCGCAUGGCUCGAGGGAGAUAGAGGUAAGCGGAACAGAUGGUGGAGCGGUGAAAUGCGUUGAUAUCAUCUGGAACACCGGUGGCGAAAGCGGCUUACUGGAUCUCUUCUGACGCUGAGGAACGAAAGCUAGGGUAGCGAACGGGAUUAGAUACCCCGGUAGUCCUAGCCGUAAACGAUGAGCACUAGUCCGUGGGAACCCUCACAUUUUCUCGGACGUAGCGAAAGUAUUAAGUGCUCCGCCUGGGGAGUAUGGUCGCAAGGCUGAA